CCGAUUUCUAUAUCUUCUGGUGGUUCAGGAAGUUCGAUAGGAUGGUCAGGCUCCCAAGUUGGCUCUGUGUCCCAUCUUGGCCCAGUGUCCCACUUUGGUUCAUUAUCCCAAAUAGGUCCUGGAUCUGAUAUUGUCGAGGAAAUGUCCUCCUUAUCAUGCAUUGAAGGGGCUGCCCAAGAUAACCGUGUAUCAUUAGAAGCUGUGACACCAACUGAAUUUCUAUCGGUCCUUGUUUUGGACCUCGUUCUUGGCCAGUAUGAUGCAUGA
RNAcentral lists this ribosomal RNA (267 nucleotides) under Triticum aestivum (bread wheat). RNAcentral describes it as "partial small subunit ribosomal RNA". Lineage: Eukaryota; Viridiplantae; Streptophyta; Magnoliopsida; Poales; Poaceae. The record is from RNAcentral.